Molecule: long non-coding RNA, 534 nt
Organism: Hydra vulgaris (swiftwater hydra)
Lineage: Eukaryota; Metazoa; Cnidaria; Hydrozoa; Anthoathecata; Hydridae
Source: RefSeq, a predicted model, not a curated record
UUUUUUUUAGUUCUGCUUUUGUCAUUGUUUUAUUUGUUUACCUACUGUUGAAAAAUGGUUUUAAUAUGGAUUGCGUGUACAUAGCUAUCAGCAAGAUGUAUUAAUUCAAAAAAGUAAAUGAUGUGAAAGAAGAGGAGUUAAUUGAAGAAAUCCAUCAUCUAGAUGUUUAAAUACUUUCUUCUAUCAAGUUGCUCAACAGAAUCUACCAGAAUGGUCUACGGUCAAAAUUUUCUUCGAUCUGCAUUUUACUUCGCAUUUUAAAUACAAUCGCGGUUUUAGUGACUGAAGGAUAGCGCUCUUUCCGUAAGCUUGUUCUCAUCAAAUCCAAAUUGUGAUCAAAAAUGACUGAGGGACGCCUUACUAAACUUAUGGUGAUUUCAAUUGAAAACGGAAUUGUUGAGAUUUUAUCGUGCAAAAAUGUCAUCUCUAGAUUCGCAAAGAAGAAAGCCUGCAAAGUGAAGUUAGCCUGAUCUGUCUUUAUUACUUCAUAAUUAACAUUUAUUUGAUGAAAUAUAUAAUUCUAUUCAUUUUAAA